CCCUUAGAUGUCCUGGGCCGCACGCGCGUUACACUGAUGCAUUCAACGAGCUUAUAACCUUGGCCGAGAGGCCUGGGCAAUCUUGUUAACGUGCAUCGUGAUAGGGAUAGAUUAUUGAAAUUAUUAAUCUUGAACGAGGAAUUCCUAGUAAACGCAGAUCAUCAAUCUGCAUUGAUUACGUCCCUGCCCUUUGUACACACCGCCCGUCGCACCUACCGAUUGGAUGGUCCGGUGAAGCCUCGGGAUUGUGGUUCUUGCCGCUUUAUUGUGGCGUGACCGCGAGAACUUGUCUAGACCUUAUCAUCUAGAGGAAGGUGAAGUCGUAACA
Molecule: ribosomal RNA, 328 nt
Filed under: uncultured eukaryote
Lineage: Eukaryota
Description: partial 18S ribosomal RNA
Rfam family: Eukaryotic small subunit ribosomal RNA
Source: RNAcentral